RNAcentral lists this unclassified non-coding RNA (310 nucleotides) under plant metagenome. RNAcentral's name for it is "partial contains 5.8S ribosomal RNA, internal transcribed spacer 2, and large subunit ribosomal RNA". The stretch from base 1 to 105 matches the Rfam family "5.8S ribosomal RNA", at positions 50 to 154 of the family's 154-position model. The record is from RNAcentral.
GAAAUGCGAUAAGUAGUGUGAAUUGCAGAAUUCAGUGAAUCAUCGAAUCUUUGAACGCACAUUGCGCCCCUUGGUAUUCCAUGGGGCAUGCCUGUUCGAGCGUCAUUUGUACCCUCAAGCUCUGCUUGGUGUUGGGUGUUUGUCCCCGUCUCCGCGCGUGGACUCGCCCCAAAGUGAUUGGCAGCCGGCGUACUGGUCCCGGAGCGCAGCACAUGUCGCGCAAACGAGUGCCUUGGUACGGCGGCGUCCAUAAGCCCCUCUCUCACGCUCUUGACCUCGGAUCAGGUAGGGAUACCCGCUGACCCUAAGC